GGAGCCAGCCAGAUGGUCGCUGUCAGCAGCCUGAUUGAGUCAGUGUUGGCAGAGGAAAGUCCGGACUUCACAGGACAGGAUGCCAGGUAACGCCUGGGAGGCGAGAGCCUACGGCCAGUGCAGCAGAAAAUAUACCGCCAGACUUGUUCUGGUAAGGGUGAAAUGGUGCGGUAAGAGCGCACCGCGCUUCUGGUAACAGUAAGCGGCAGGGUAAACCCCAUCCGAAGCAAGACCAAAUAGGGAAACAACCAGCUUUCGGGCUGACCCCGUGGUCCGCGGGAGUUUCCGGGUAGGUUGCAUGAGGUGAUCGGUGACGGUCAUCCCAGAUGAAUGACCAUCCACGACAGAAUCCGGCUUAUGGCUGGCUCUCCUU
RNAcentral lists this RNase P RNA (373 nucleotides) under Gammaproteobacteria bacterium. RNAcentral describes it as "RNase P RNA component class A". It matches the Rfam family "Bacterial RNase P class A". Rfam says of the family: Ribonuclease P (RNase P) is a ubiquitous endoribonuclease, found in archaea, bacteria and eukarya as well as chloroplasts and mitochondria. Its best characterised activity is the generation of mature 5'-ends of tRNAs by cleaving the 5'-leader elements of precursor-tRNAs. Cellular RNase Ps are ribonucleoproteins. Lineage: Bacteria; Pseudomonadati; Pseudomonadota; Gammaproteobacteria. The record is from RNAcentral.